Molecule: ribosomal RNA, 269 nt
Filed under: uncultured prokaryote
Description: partial 16S ribosomal RNA
Rfam family: Bacterial small subunit ribosomal RNA
Source: RNAcentral
UACGGAGGGGGCAAGCGUUAUUCGGAUUUACUGGGCGUAAAGCGCACGUAGGUGGCAUGGUAAGUCAAAGGUGAAAGCCCUCGGCUCAACCGAGGAAUUGCCUUUGAAACUGCCUUGCUUGAGUCCGGGAGGGGGGAGCGGAAUUCCCAGUGUAGCGGUGAAAUGCGUAGAUACUGGGAGGAACACCGGUGGCGAAGGCGGCUCCCUGGACCGGUACUGACACUGAGGUGCGAAAGCGUGGGUAGCAAACAGGAUUAGAUACCCCCGUA